AGCUGGCGGAGUGCCACCAAACACAGCAAGCUCUUUUUCUUCAAAACAGUAGCCAGUGCGCAGGCAUGGGACGCAUCAGCGGCAGUGGAAGGUUGCCGGAGCACCAUCAAACACGAUGAUCGUAGGCAAUUGGAUCAACCCAUUCCCAGGAGGAAAUUGCUCAGGCUAUUCGAGCAUUGCAUUCUGGGAAAUCCCCAGGACCCGAAGGAUCCUCCGGAGAGUGUUAUAAGGCGUUUUCCUCCUUGAUUAUACCACAGUUAUGUUCUACCCUUACAGAUUCCUUUAAGAUAUUUCCCCUUACUGUGAUAGAUGUACUAACGGAGUGGCCACAGUAAUUCAUAUGUUUUGGACAUGUCAGCCUUGAAAAAUUCUGGAGAGAUGUAUUUCAAACUUUUUCUGGACUUUUCAAUGUCAGCUUCAAGCCCAAUCGUUUGACUGCCUUGUUUGGUAAUGUUGAGGAUAGUACUACAAAGCUGAAGCCAUCUAAUUUGCGGGUAUUGGCCUUUAUGUCUCUUAUGGCCAGGAGGGUGACCUUGCUCAAGUGGAAGGAGGCUGCUCCGCCCACUCAUGUUCAAUGGCUAUCUGACGUUAUGUUGUGCCUUGAUCUAGAGAAGAUUCGUUGUUCGAUUUCUGAUUCUAAACAUGAUUUUCUAAUGUUAUGGGGAUCCUUUCUGAAUUAUUUUCACAAUCUUUGAACUGUUAUUAAAGUAUGGAUCUGAGCCAUUAUUAUUAUUAUAAUAUCAAAUGGUAAGGUGUUUCUCUUUUUCCUUUUUUUUUAC
This is a long non-coding RNA of Mobula hypostoma (lesser devil ray), 779 nucleotides long. RefSeq lists it as uncharacterized. The transcript is spliced from 3 exons. NCBI's taxonomy places the organism in Eukaryota, Metazoa, Chordata, Chondrichthyes, Myliobatiformes, Myliobatidae. The record is from RefSeq and is a predicted model, not a curated record.